Long non-coding RNA from Scleropages formosus (Asian bonytongue), 2395 nucleotides. RefSeq lists it as uncharacterized. The transcript has 5 exons. Lineage: Eukaryota; Metazoa; Chordata; Actinopteri; Osteoglossiformes; Osteoglossidae. The record is from RefSeq and is a predicted model, not a curated record.
UCUCUCGGGAAGCAAUAUGCAAUACUUUGGAGGAGUACGCAUCUUUCUUAGUAAGCAUUAUACGCACUAUAUGAGAUACACGUGGUCAGGUACUCGGCUUCUUCUUCUUCUUCUAAUAAUAAUAAUAGUAGAUAUAAGGUAAGUUGCCUCUAUUUUUAUCGGAACUGCGAACGGUGGGAAACUUUGCGUUCCUUCGGUUCUCGGGUCCCUCGCUGGACUCGUAUCCCCAUCCGGCUGAGUUUGUCGAGAUCCAAGUGGGAUCCAUCCGCGGUGAAGGCGAUGGGGCGGAGGUAGCAGCGCGCGCGGAAGGCGGCGUUAAAAUAAUUCUCGCUUCCAAUUUAUGAGCAUAAUGCAUUCCUGAGAAUUGCCGUUAAAUCAAAUUAGCAGUAGUUUAAAGAGGAAUAUUAUAAUACAUUCAUCACGAACUCGAUUGUAUACUUGGAGCUAGUCGUAAUAACACAAAGUCACAGGGCAGGUCUCUUAGACAAAAGUAUCUCCUUUUUCCCCACCGCCUUGUGACAAUCCUUGGAAAGAGUAACAAAAGGUCGGCAUAACGUGCGAUUCACCGCUUCAUGGGAUUGUACCGGCGACCUGAGUAUUUAAAGUAUGCAAACGUAGUAAAUGGGUACCGUGUGUUACGGGCGGUCUAGUAAGUAGAGAUCGCGUCCCGUCGUGUUUGUUUAGUCGAAGUUGCGUUUUGUUAAUCGUUUCCACGCGGUGCCAUAAGUUGACAGCAGAAUGGAGGGGGGGGAAAAAAAACCCACAAAACAAACCACCGAGCCGGUUGGACACCGUCAGAGAGCCGCGCAUAGUUUCAUUCAACAUGUCUUUUAUUAAUUGUAGCCGUAACCGAGGAGACGGUUAAAGAAGUGGUAAAAUGAAAGCAGGGCUAAAAGAAAAGUGCCGUAGCAGAACAAGGCGACAGGAGGGAGCGCCGAGUCGGUACCGUGCAAGUGCAUAAGAGAAGGGAAUAAGCAAAUACAUUGAGCCGGAGCAGGAUAUUGGGGUGGGGGGACAGUAAUGUGUAAUAGCUGCACCUGUGGAAAGAAAGUGUAAAGCAACCUAACAAAUGUAAAUGGAGUUUGCCCUCUUCUUCUGACUCUUACUGCUGAGAGAGAUUCCUUCCUAGCCAGAGCUCAAUAGCCUAACGAUGUAAUUAGAGAGCAUGCGAAUCAUGUGUUUUUCUCUCCGCAGCUUUAGCGCAAUUACUUGGUGGGAUGUUUUCGCAGGUUAGGUCUGGGUGGGUUGCUCGACGAGCGGGAGGGCGUAGUCCCAAAGUACACGUGUUUCACAUGAUUACGCUAAAAGUGGCUCUCGGUGAAAUAUUCAAAACCGGCGGUGUUUGGCUGGCAGGCUAGCAGGUAGGCUCGCUAGUUCGCUCCGGUUUCCACCGCGGCUCUUUCCUUUAGCGAUACGGUUGUUCAGGCCCAAGUAGGAGACGAGAGUAACUGGAGGUGGGGUCGUAUUUGCCUCGAGCGGAGGCCGAUGCGGGGCUUGUCGUUUCGGCACGAGCGCCGAGUCCAGGAAAGGUCCUCCGCCGGGAUGGGAAUGAGGACGGGUAACCGCACGUCGUCCCUGCAUGGCAAGGCGACACGGAGGAGUGCAAGACUGAAUAAAUCGGUGGUGAAGCAGGAGCUUUUGCGCGGCUCUCAAAUUUUUUUUUUUUUUUUUUUGGGUGUCUGCUGGCUGAACUGAAGCAACUGUUGGCUGCAUUAGAAAAUGGCGCCAAACACGAUAUGAAUGAAUAUGCUGUUACUGUAGAGUAGCCCAGACAGGCUACCGUGGCCUGAAGGAUUUCCAAUUGUGCUCGAAGAUGCAACGGAGGCCUACGUGAGAGAUGGCACUCGGGCUAUUCAUGCUUGAGAAGCAUCCACGUCUAAAAGAAUGGCAAAAACCUUUGCGCUCAGAAGACACGAAGUAGUCAACGUGUCCCCCGGAGUUGUGGAUUUUAAAGAUGGAUGGCCUGUACCAUUUAACCCUCAGAGCACCUGUGUAAUAUGUGAUUUGAUGUAUUGCUGAAAACAUAUGGAAAAUGUCAUAUCUUGCUGCAGAGAAGUUGUAGAUUAAAAAGACAGAUUUCACAUCAUCAUUAUUUAUUACUUUGUCACCCAUUAGGGGAUUCAUGAAAUCAUUCCUUAGGAAUGAAUCACAUGACAUAUGCCCAACAUCUGCAUACCUUUUCUCACUAUAUUACAAUAGUGGAUGUUAACGUGUGCCAGCAAUCCCUAGGAUUGUGUUGAAGGAUAUAUCCAAUUUAAUGAAUGGUACAUUUUAGAACUCUGGACCGGACAAGGGAAGUUUUUGCUUGGGUGAAAAGGAUGAUCUCGUUCAGGAAUACCAUGUGUCAAUUCUUGGUAUCCCAUAAGAUGAACACACACACUUUCAUGAGGUAGGA